Molecule: transfer RNA, 67 nt
Filed under: Epiphragma mediale
Lineage: Eukaryota; Metazoa; Arthropoda; Insecta; Diptera; Limoniidae
Description: tRNA-Leu
Source: RNAcentral
UCUAAUAUGGCAGAUUAGUGCAAUGGGUUUAAGCCCCGUAUAUAAAGAAUUAUUUCUUUUAUUAGAA